AAUGUUUUGUUUGAAUGUAAAAUGAACACAUUAUUCUCACAUUGAUUAAAAUUGAUUGAAUUGAAUACUUAAAGCAAUAAAAUUGAGUUUGCACACAAAAUGGCACCUCCUGAGCAGAAGGUGGCAGUAACGCUCAAUAAAAAGGACGUCAAUCGCCAUAAAGGAAGAAUAAACAUCGUUUGUUUUGGGCGCCAAAAUGAAGACUCAGCAGCAGUCAGUCAGAAGAACUCCCUCAGACGGACACCACGUUAUUAAAGUCCAUCAUCCUUGCAUGCGCUACACACUCAAAAGCAUUGAUAAAUGCUGAAUUUAAAAGAAUCACAACUGUCUUAUGUUCCUGCGUGUCACCUGGACCUCCAAUCCAAAAACCUGACGAAACUCUUCUAUCAGAAAGGAGGACAGCUAGCAAACAGACUUCAAACAAUGAAUGAUCAAAUGACAGAAGGCAUGAAUGAAGUCAGCAUCAGUGUGGUCAUUUGAAGACACCACUGUUGGGAUUUGUGCUCUCAAACAACAUGCUUCUUGUGAUGAAGAAGAGGAUCUUUGUAUAGUCCUGGAAGGCAUGAAGGUGUUGCAACAUCGUGCCAUGUUGUUUGAGCUGAUGUAUGCCUUAAACCUGAGCUAUCCUGAUCUCUGCUUUAUUUUUGAAGAAAUCCAAAAGAUUUUAAUGGAACUGCAUUAAGCGUAACUUUAACGAACAGUUUCUUUCAGUGAAAGGAUCAGAAAGACUGUGCUGCUCAUUUAUGUUCUGUUUAUCUGUUUUAAGUGUUUUCUCUUAUUAAAACAUUAACAGUUUGCUGCUCAGAGUUGAUUUUGGAAAUGGUUGUUGUAUUUUGUUUUUGUUGAAUCUUUGAUUAUCAGUUUAUACAAAUGCUGUAGCUCUGACUUUCUGAAGGAUUGAUAUUUUACAGUUUGUAAAUCCAUUUAAAAAAUAAUAGUACUUACUGUUUUGCAUGUCUCUUUGGAAUGCAGUGUUUGUGUUUUAGCACUUCUAAAUCUACUGUGAUAGUAACUAUUUUAAACAUUUGGGUCAGUUUUACAGAUGGGGCUUUUUCUAGUCCCAGACUUUUGCAAUGCCUUAAUUUGAAAACAUAUUGCACUGACAUAUCUUGACAUAUAUCAGUGCCAUUGUUUUGUCUCAAGAUGUACUCCAGUGUUGUUUUUGUAAGGUAGGUUUGUUUGUAAACUUUUUUUGUAAACAAUAUCCUAAUAUAACUAGGGCCUAGUCAUGGAUUAAUCUACAACCUGUUUGGGAAAUUGCCCCUUUGUAUGUA
Molecule: non-coding RNA, 1274 nt
Organism: Paramisgurnus dabryanus
Lineage: Eukaryota; Metazoa; Chordata; Actinopteri; Cypriniformes; Cobitidae
Source: RefSeq, a predicted model, not a curated record